Molecule: ribosomal RNA, 454 nt
Filed under: uncultured bacterium
Lineage: Bacteria
Description: partial 16S ribosomal RNA
Rfam family: Bacterial small subunit ribosomal RNA
Source: RNAcentral
GAUGAACGCUGACAGAAUGCUUAACACAUGCAAGUCAACUUGAACUUCGGUUUGGGUGGCGGACGGGUGAGUAACGCGUAAAGAACUUGCCUCACAGCUAGGGACAACAUUUGGAAACGAAUGCUAAUACCUGAUAUUAUGAUUUUAGGGCAUCCUAGAAUUAUGAAAGCUAUAUGCGCUGUGAGAGAGCUUUGCGUCCCAUUAGCUAGUUGGAGAGGUAACGGCUCACCAAGGCGAUGAUGGGUAGCCGGCCUGAGAGGGUGAACGGCCACAAGGGGACUGAGACACGGCGCUUACUACUACGGGAGGCAGCAGUGGAGAAUAUUGGACAAUGGACCAAGAGUCUGAUCCAGCAAUUCUGUGUGCGCGAUGAAGUUUUUCGGAAUGUAAAGUGCUUUAAGUUGGGAAGAAAAAAAUGACGGUACCAACAGAAGAAGUGACGGCUAAAUACGUG